AUGACAGACUUCCAAAACCUCUCUGCACAAACUGAAUGCUUAAACCGCGCCCACCUAAUUCUGCUGCCAAAAAUAGAAGAAGCAAAUACACCAGGAUCCUACCGCCCGAUCUCUCUCCAAAACUGUCCCGUUAAAGCCGCCGCCAAGAUCCUCACCAACAGAUUAAAACCGCUGAUCCCGCUGCUUGUUUAUGGAAACCAGACUGGCUUUAUCUCAGGCCGUUGCAUCGUGGAAAACUUUAUCUAUGCUACGGACCUUAUCGACUCCUGCCAUAAUCGAAAAGCCCCAACCAUGGUCAUAAAACUAGACUUCUCAAAAGCCUUCGACACUCUCUCCUGGGAAUCUCUCCACGCCAUCCUCCACUACCGCGGCUUCCCGCCAAAAUUCACGGCUUGGAUCCAGGAUAUCUUCUCAACAUGAAAAACGACCGUCAUGCUGAACGGGCUCCCAGGAAACUGGAUAAACUACAAGAACGGACUCAGACAAGGAGACCCCAUAUCACCCUACCUUUUCAUCAUCGUUGCUGACCUCCUUCAACAAAUGAUCACACAACACUGCGACGCUCGGCACGUAACACACCCCCUGUUCACACACCUGCCACCGACCGUUCUACAAUAUGCCGAUGACACCCUCAUAAUCGCCAAGGCAUCCAAUGACGCCGCCAUGCAGCUAAAACACAUUCUCCAAAAUUUUGCAAUGGCUACAGGCCUCACGAUAAACUACACAAAAAUUACUUUCGUACCUAUGCAUGUUUACCUUUCUGUGGCAGACUCCAUUGCUACCACCUUGCAAUGCACAACCUCAACCUUUCCACAAAUCUACCUAGGCCUCCCCCUGGCACCGACCCUUCUACCCCCAAACGCCUUUCUACCCAUUAUCGAACGAUGCCGAAAAUUCUUGUCAGGUUGGCGAGCAAAAAUCCUAUCCAAGGGCGACCGGCUCAUCCUUCUGUCUGCUGUCCUUGACUCCAUCUUAGUAUAUUUUAUGCCAGUCUUUCUCAUCCCAAAAAGUGUGCUAAAAACCCUAGACUCCAUACGUCGUGCUUUCUUCUGGGCCACAGAGGAAACUUGCACCGGUGCUCAAUGCUUAGUUGCCUGGAAAAAUGUUAGUAAGCCCAAAAGCUAG
Molecule: ribosomal RNA, 1125 nt
Filed under: Triticum aestivum (bread wheat)
Lineage: Eukaryota; Viridiplantae; Streptophyta; Magnoliopsida; Poales; Poaceae
Description: partial small subunit ribosomal RNA
Source: RNAcentral